GAUUAAGUUAUUAAGGGCGCACGGUGGAUGCCUUGGCACUAGAAGCCGAUGAAGGACGUUACUAACGACGAUAUGCUUUGGGUAGCUGUAAGUAAGCGUUGAUCCAGAGAUUUCCGAAUGGGGGAACCCAACAUGAGUUAUGUCAUGUUAUCGACAUGUGAAUUCAUAGCAUGUCAGAAGGCAGACCCGGAGAACUGAAACAUCUUAGUACCCGGAGGAAGAGAAAGAAAAAUCGAUUCCCUGAGUAGCGGCGAGCGAAACGGGAAGAGCCCAAACCAACAAGCUUGCUUGUUGGGGUUGUAGGACACUCUAUACGGAGUUACAAAAGAACAUGUUAGACGAAUCAUCUGGAAAGAUGAAUCAAAGAAGGUAAUAAUCCUGUAGUCGA
RNAcentral lists this ribosomal RNA (388 nucleotides) under Staphylococcus epidermidis. RNAcentral describes it as "partial 23S ribosomal RNA". It matches the Rfam family "Bacterial large subunit ribosomal RNA", at positions 1 to 382 of the family's 2925-position model. Lineage: Bacteria; Bacillati; Bacillota; Bacilli; Caryophanales; Staphylococcaceae. The record is from RNAcentral.